Molecule: ribosomal RNA, 253 nt
Filed under: uncultured bacterium
Lineage: Bacteria
Description: partial 16S ribosomal RNA
Rfam family: Bacterial small subunit ribosomal RNA
Source: RNAcentral
GACGAACCAUGCAAACGUUAUUCGGAAUCACUGGGCUUAAAGCGUGCGUAGGCGGUUCAGAAAGUUGGGUGUGAAAUACCUCGGCUCAACCGAGGAAUUGCGCCCAAAACUACUGGGCUUGAGGGAGUUAGAGGUGAGCGGAACUCACGGUGGAGCGGUGAAAUGCGUUGAUAUCGUGAGGAACACCGGAGGCGAAAGCGGCUCACUGGGGCUUCACUGACGCUGAGGCACGAAAGCUAGGGGAGCAAACGGG